This 449-nucleotide ribosomal RNA is filed under the name uncultured bacterium. RNAcentral describes it as "partial 16S ribosomal RNA". It matches the Rfam family "Bacterial small subunit ribosomal RNA", at positions 339 to 795 of the family's 1533-position model. The record is from RNAcentral.
CUACGGGUCGCAGCAGUGGGGAAUAUUGCGCAAUGGGCGAAAGCCUGACGCAGCAACGCCGCGUGAGUGAUGAAGGCCUUCGGGUCGUAAAGCUCUGUCGGGAGGGAAGAACACCUUCGGGUCUGACGGUACCUCCCGAGGAAGCACAGGCUAACUCCGUGCCGGCAGCGGCGGUAAUACGGAGUGUGCAAGCGUUGUUCGGAAUUACUGGGCGUAAAGCGCGCGUAGGCGGCUUGAUAAGUCAGAUGUGAAAUCCCUCGGCUUAACCGCGGAACUGCAUUUGAAACUGUCAGGCUUGAGUACGGGAGGGGGAAGCGGAAUUCCCAGUGUAGAGGUGAAAUUCGUAGAUAUUGGGAGGAACACCAGCGGCGAAGGCGGCUUCCUGGACCGAUACUGACGCUGAGGCGCGAAAGCGUGGGGAGCAAACAGGAUUAGAUACCCGUGUAGUC